Molecule: ribosomal RNA, 397 nt
Filed under: uncultured bacterium
Lineage: Bacteria
Description: partial 16S ribosomal RNA
Rfam family: Bacterial small subunit ribosomal RNA
Source: RNAcentral
AUACGUAGGUGGCAAGCGUUGUCCGGAAUUAUUGGGCGUAAAGCGCGCGCAGGUGGUUCCUUAAGUCUGAUGUGAAAGCCCCCGGCUCAACCGGGGAGGGUCAUUGGAAACUGGGGAACUUGAGUGCAGAAGAGGAUAGUGGAAUUCCAAGUGUAGCGGUGAAAUGCGUAGAGAUUUGGAGGAAUACCAGUGGCGAAGGCGACUGUCUGGUCUGUAACUGACACUGAGGCGCGAAAGCGUGGGGAGCAAACAGGAUUAGAUACCCUGGUAGUCCACGCCGUAAACGAUGAGUGCUAAGUGUUGGGGGGUUUCCGCCCCUCAGUGCUGCAGCUAACGCAUUAAGCACUCCGCCUGGGGAGUACGGUCGCAAGACUGAAACUCAAAGGAAUUGACGGGG